CGGGUGAGUAACACGUGGGUGACCUGCCCUUAGCUCUGGGAUAAGCCUGGGAAACUGGGUCUAAUACCGGAUAUGACUCCAUGACGCAUGUUGUGGGGUGGGAAGCCUUGUGCGGCUAGGGAUGGGCCCGCGGCCUAUCAGCUUGUUGGUGGGGUGAUGGCCUACCAAGGCGACGACGGGUAGCCGGCCUGAGAGGGCGACCGGCCACACUGGGACUGAGACACGGCCCAG
Molecule: ribosomal RNA, 231 nt
Filed under: uncultured bacterium
Lineage: Bacteria
Description: partial 16S ribosomal RNA
Rfam family: Bacterial small subunit ribosomal RNA
Source: RNAcentral